AUUUGAAUUUUUUCAUGGUUCUCGGCCAUUUGUAUUUCUUUAGCAAAUUGUUUGCUUGUACCCCUUAACUAUUUUUCCACAGAGCUGUGUCUUUUUUCCCUGUUUUAGUAAAAUUCAUAUUAAGAUUAUAACUUUUACAAAUAUCUGUCCCUGUUUACUUAUGUUUUAACUGUGUUUAUGUAUUUCCUCCUUUGCCUAGAUAUUUUGUUAUGUAAUCAAAUAUGGGAAUUUUUUUAUUCUUUAUGUCAUUAUUUUUGGCCACAUGCUAGUAUUUUUUUUAUAUUUAAAUUUAAUUCAUCUGUGUAAGUCUUUUGUUUGAUUUGCUUUGGGGUUUGGUGUUCAUGUUAGAGUCUGCCUUUAAAAUCUGACCACAAUUAAUCGACUAAUCUGUUCUUUGAAUUAAAAUGUUGUGAUGUUAUUCCUAGUUUUGAUUAUUUCUUCUUUCUUAGGCGGAUGUAGCCGUUUUAGUUGUAGACGCCAGCAGGGGAGAGUUUGAAGCUGGAUUUGAGACUGGGGGACAAACACGGGAACAUGGCCUUUUGGUUCGUUCUCUUGGAGUCACACAGCUUGCGGUUGCGGUCAAUAAGAUGGAUCAGGUUAAUUGGCAACAAGAAAGGUUUCAAGAGAUUACUGGAAAGCUUGGGCACUUUCUUAAGCAAGCAGGUUUUAAGGAAAGUGAUGUAGCUUUUAUCCCUACAAGUGGUCUCAGUGGUGAAAAUCUAAUCACAAGAUCUCAAUCGAGUGAACUCACAAAAUGGUAUAAAGGACUAUGUUUAUUAGAACAAAUUGGUAAGUAUACUGCCAUACUGAUUUUGAUGCAUUGUAAGCUUGAUGUUAUUUAGAGUUCUUUUUU
Molecule: non-coding RNA, 853 nt
Organism: Leptonychotes weddellii (Weddell seal)
Lineage: Eukaryota; Metazoa; Chordata; Mammalia; Carnivora; Phocidae
Source: RefSeq, a predicted model, not a curated record